This 280-nucleotide long non-coding RNA is filed under the name Dasypus novemcinctus (nine-banded armadillo). RNAcentral describes it as "lncRNA (ENSDNOG00000050188.1)". The record is from RNAcentral. Lineage: Eukaryota; Metazoa; Chordata; Mammalia; Cingulata; Dasypodidae.
UCACCUUCAAGGAUGCAAUUUUAAGAACGUCAAGAAGGCGGCCCGGGAGCUUUGGACUCAGAGAGCCGGGCCUUUUGCGCCGACCCCUCCCGGGGACCGCGCGGGGAUGACGCGGUAGAGAAGCGGAUCUGCGCCACCAGCCUGCGUCUCCAGAGCGGUUACUGUGUGUUGUCCUCCUCUGUUCGUCCUUACCUCUUCGGGAGCGGAGCCGCUGGACGGCACCACAACAUCUGGAACCCGACCAGGGACCUGAAAACCCCGGAGACAAUAUCAGCAAGCU